GAGGAGCGCCUGAGCCGCGGCGACGAGGCCGUCAGCCUGGAGCAGUUCUGCGAGGUGCUGGAGAGCGUCUCCCGCCUGACGGCCGGGUCCCGCGGGGAGAGCGAGGAGGU
MicroRNA precursor from Gallus gallus (chicken), 110 nucleotides. Lineage: Eukaryota; Metazoa; Chordata; Aves; Galliformes; Phasianidae. The record is from Ensembl.